GCGGUCCCACUCCCGUCUAAAUAUUGCCGCCGCCACUAUUGUAAUACUGCAAUAGGCACUUCUUUCAAUCGUUGAGUAACCGCGGUCGGGCGCUGUUUAGUUUAUGUGUGUGCAUACGUCGUAUGAUUCGGUUCAAAAUCGGUAUGGCGAUUUAUUGAUAUUCUAAAUUAUUUAAACUGUGGGCAUAUAAUUAUUAUAAAAGUGGCAGUGGAUUGAAUUAACGGACCGCCUCUGUUUGCAUUGACACCGAGGAAAUUAUCAAUAAAGUCAUUGCCCUCAAUUUUUCGUUUUACUUGGACAAAAUGACGAAAGGCGGUUUGUCGCCGGUGCUCGUCGAACACAGCGGCAACAAAAUGGACGGGAACGUUGCCGCGACUCCGACGUCUAAAAAGCGUGGUUUCUUCAGCGGUUCGUUUCGGCGUCGCCGGACAUCCGACAUAAAAAUCAAUGACACGAUAAUCAUUAACGAAAACGUGGUGUUUAACGGCAACAACAAAAACGGCGUCAGCUCCACGGAUGGUGGAAAGACCGUCGAGAACGGUAAAAGCGUCGACGUCACCGAACAGCAACUUGCCGUGAACGAUAAAAAGCCACCGUUGCAAAAAAAAGAGCCCGUGAUGGACGUAAAAAAAACAGCUCCAGUGGCAGUCCACCAACAGAAGGAUAUAGAGAGCAAACAACUACAAGCCGAUAAGAAAAAAAUUGCGGCGGAGGAUAAGAAAAAAGCUGUGACAAAAAGAGGUAAAACGUACUGUAGUGGUUGUAAGAAAAAAUGCUCUGGUGAAGUACUCAAAAUUAAAGGUGAUAAAUACUUCCACAUUGACUGUUUCAAAUGCAAAAUUUGUAGCUGUUCAUUAGUGCAAGGGUUAUUUUUUUCUGAAGAAGGUAGUUGGUAUUGUCCUGAUGAUUAUCAAAAAUUAUUUGGUAAAAAGUGCACUGUUUGCAAUGAUUAUAUUAAAGAUGAAUUGGUUAUUGUUUUGGAACGAACAUAUCAUCAACAGUGUUUCACAUGUACUCAUUGCAGACAACCAUGUCCAAAAGGAGAUCUAGUAACAUAUGUAGGAAAUUCUAUUCUUUGUUCUAAGUGCAAAGAGAUUCCUGUUAAACGGCCGGUAUCUGCACAAUCAAAACAAAAUAGCACUAAUGAAACAGAUUGUGCUGAAUGUGGUGAUGAUCUUAGGAAUGGACAAGCACUUUAUGCUUUGGACAGACAAUGGCAUAUUUAUUGUUUUAAGUGUCAUGAAUGUUCUGCUGUACUUCAUGGCGAGUAUAUGGGACGGGAUGGUGUUCCUUACUGUGAAAAAGACUAUCAGAAGCUUUUUGGAGUCAAAUGUACAUAUUGCAGUAGAUUUAUAUCUGGAAAAGUUUUACAAGCUGGUGAUAAUCAUCAUUUUCAUCCAACGUGUGCAAGAUGUGCUAAGUGUGGUGAUCCAUUUGGGGAUGGUGAAGAAAUGUACUUACAAGGCGGAGCAAUUUGGCAUCCACGUUGUGGGCCUAGUCCGACUGAAAAUGGCACUAUAAUAAAUGGAGGAUCAAGUGCUAUGCUUAACGGACAUUGCAAUGACCCUGAAGAGUAUGAUCGAAUCAGUUGCUCAGCUGCUAGUGAAACACAGUUUUCAUUACGAUCUCGAUCUCGUGCUUCAAGCUUUAAUGGUUCAUGUUAUAAUGGUUCAUGUAAUAGCAUGAGUAGAAAGCACUAUUAUCGUGAUAUACCUGGAAGUCCAGGUCUAUUGCUUCGAGAAUAUAAAACAUCUAAUGUACCUAUAAGUCGUAUCUACACUUAUAGUUACUUGACUGAAGAGCCAACUCAAGGAUAUUUGAAACGCCCAAUCGACCCAUACGAUAAGCAGCCUACAUCGCCUCAUUUCCACAGACCAACAUCUUGUGGUAGUGUACGUGGAAGUAGUAAGUGUUCAACUUUACGUUCAGCUGGCAGUCGUUCUGGUAUGAAAGCUUUAGUUGACAGUAUUAGAUCAGAGACUCCUAGACCAAAAUCACCUCAUAGUAUGAACAAUGAAGAACCUAUAGAAUUGGCUCACUAUCCCGCUGCUAAACCACCAGCACCUGGUGAAAAACCAAAAAUUGAAAGAGAUGAUUUUCCUGCUCCUCCAUGUCCAUAUACUGAUCCAGAAAAACGUAAAACAUGGUUUGAAAACUAUAAAGGUAUAUCAGAUGAUGAAGAUGAAGUUGAUCAAAAAAUGAAUGCUGAUAAAGCAAUAGAUCCUAAACUAAAGAAAGAAGAGGAAGAACUAAGUAAAUUAGGAUCAGGAAUUGGAAAAGUAUUUUUGCAAGAAGUUCGUGAACGCGAAAAACAUCAAAAAUGGAAAGUUUCACACAUGGAUCCUCGCAAUGCUUCAAGAUGUCCUUCUGCUGCACGAGAGCCGACUUAUCGUCUUAGAUACCAGUCGCCGAUAAAUGCUUCACCAUCUCGUAAUUUGGAUCAUCAAAGACCUUGGGAAGAAGAAGGUGGUUAUUUAGACACAAGUUACAGAUCAUCAGUUGGACAAUCUACUGGUGCUAUUCCCAGUUACAACAGAUGGGUUUUCCAUAAACGGCUUAGACAAUAAAACACUUAGCACAGAUUUUAACUGCGCUAGGUCUGACGUUUCUGCCGGAUCUAUAUCUGAAGUGGAUCAAGGCAACACGUGUUCUGAAAUACCAGCAUCAUCUACAUUUACUGGAUCGCUGCGCUAUGUUACUAAUAUUCAUCGUUCACUACCCAACAUGUCUUCAUCGCAUCACAG
RNAcentral lists this unclassified non-coding RNA (2744 nucleotides) under Rhopalosiphum maidis (corn leaf aphid). RNAcentral describes it as "actin-binding LIM protein 3, transcript variant X5". Lineage: Eukaryota; Metazoa; Arthropoda; Insecta; Hemiptera; Aphididae. The record is from RNAcentral.